UGAGGGAGACCUACCCACUCAGAUAUCGAAAGGAAAUUCUUUUCUUAAAGAUAUUGAGUUGGUCAUCCUCAGGUCGGUCGCAGAAAAGGCUUUACAGCUUUCAAACUAUAUUUCGGUUCGAUUAAGGGCUAUUAGCUCAGGUGGUUAGAGCGCACCCCUGAUAAGGGUGAGGUCCCUGGUUCGAGUCCAGGAUGGCCCACCUAAAGCAAGUUAAAGAAUCAAAAAGUAUUUGAUUGCACUUGUGUCUGGGGGUUUAGCUCAGUUGGUAGAGCGCCUGCUUUGCAAGCAGGAUGUCAGCGGUUCGAGUCCGCUAACCUCCACCAAAGAAUAGGGAAAAAAACAGCAACGAGGCGAAUUAGCCAGACUGCUGGAAAAUUUUCCAGCCAGAACCUUGAAAACUGCAUAGUAACGCGAAGCAGGCAGACACAGACAGAAAAAGUCGAGUGUUUGCGAAAUGUCAUGU
This 463-nucleotide transfer RNA is filed under the name Tolypothrix pseudorexia LCR-CYTR. RNAcentral describes it as "partial 16S-23S ribosomal RNA intergenic spacer". The stretch from base 248 to 320 matches the Rfam family "tRNA". Lineage: Bacteria; Bacillati; Cyanobacteriota; Cyanophyceae; Nostocales; Tolypothrichaceae. The record is from RNAcentral.